CUAAAAGCAUCAAAAACAGCAGUCUCUUUGAAAGGCUGGAGCCUAACUGAGAAACUAGGACAUUGGCCUCACAGGGCUCUCCUCCCAGACCAGACUCCUUCCGAUUGCUCUCUUCCACCCACCCUCCAGGUUUCUCUGAAUGUUGCUUUGCCAUCUGGCUGGCAGGUGCUGACAGGUCCACUCCACUUACUUGCCAGUGUCAAAGGAACCUUGCACAAUCUCUGCUUCAUACAAGCCAGUACAGAUCAGUUUGGAGGAAUGUAACUAUACACAGGCUUGUACAACUUUCCCAGCUACUUCAUAUAAGUUUGUCAAAUGUACCAUCUUGUCAUGUGUUGUUCAUGGAAUGAUAU
Chiloscyllium plagiosum (whitespotted bambooshark) is the source of this 353-nucleotide non-coding RNA. The record is from RefSeq and is a predicted model, not a curated record. Lineage: Eukaryota; Metazoa; Chordata; Chondrichthyes; Orectolobiformes; Hemiscylliidae.